This 474-nucleotide ribosomal RNA is filed under the name Cryptosporidium parvum. RNAcentral describes it as "partial 18S ribosomal RNA". It matches the Rfam family "Eukaryotic small subunit ribosomal RNA", at positions 567 to 1064 of the family's 1831-position model. Lineage: Eukaryota; Apicomplexa; Conoidasida; Eucoccidiorida; Cryptosporidiidae. The record is from RNAcentral.
CCAGCAGCCGCGGUAAUUCCAGCUCCAAUAGCGUAUAUUAAAGUUGUUGCAGUUAAAAAGCUCGUAGUUGGAUUUCUGUUAAUAAUUUAUAUAAAAUAUUUUGAUGAAUAUUUAUAUAAUAUUAACAUAAUUCAUAUUACUAUUUUUUUUUUUAGUAUAUGAAAUUUUACUUUGAGAAAAUUAGAGUGCUUAAAGCAGGCAUAUGCCUUGAAUACUCCAGCAUGGAAUAAUAUUAAAGAUUUUUAUCUUUUUUAUUGGUUCUAAGAUAAGAAUAAUGAUUAAUAGGGACAGUUGGGGGCAUUUGUAUUUAACAGUCAGAGGUGAAAUUCUUAGAUUUGUUAAAGACAAACUAAUGCGAAAGCAUUUGCCAAGGAUGUUUUCAUUAAUCAAGAACGAAAGUUAGGGGAUCGAAGACGAUCAGAUACCGUCGUAGUCUUAACCAUAAACUAUGCCAACUAGAGAUUGGAGGUUGUU